This 254-nucleotide long non-coding RNA is filed under the name Lathyrus oleraceus (garden pea). RNAcentral's name for it is "Pisum sativum (pea) long non-coding RNA (PSAT_LNC021197)". Lineage: Eukaryota; Viridiplantae; Streptophyta; Magnoliopsida; Fabales; Fabaceae. The record is from RNAcentral.
CUUAACAUAGAGCUAAAUUUGACCCUAAAAGCAUAGCAAUCUAGUAAGUGAGAUUGUAAGUCUCCCAUCUUUCAUGGUAUUGUGUGGAAACUUGACCUUUUUUCCUUUCAUGAGAGCUAGUGGCAUACUUGUUGAAUUGUCCAAGUUGAAGCCCUUCUCAUGGGGGAUGUCUUAGUUUAAGGAUCCAUGCUUGUGAAUGGAUGGUUGAGUGUUCUCCAAAGAAUGACUUAAUCAAUUAAAAAACACCACUAACA